UACGUAGGUGGCGAGCGUUGUCCGGAUUUACUGGGCGUAAACGGCUUGUAGGCGGUCCGCUAAGUCUGGUGUGAAAUCUCCCGGCUCAACUGGGAGGGGUCAUUGGAAACUGGGGGACUUGAGUGCAGAAGAGGAGAGUGGAAUUCCACGUGUAGCGGUGAAAUGCGUAGAGAUGUGGAGGAACACCAGUGGCGAAGGCGACUCUCUGGUCUGUAACUGACGCUGAGGCGCGAAAGCGUGGGGAGCAAACAGG
Molecule: ribosomal RNA, 253 nt
Filed under: uncultured bacterium
Lineage: Bacteria
Description: partial 16S ribosomal RNA
Rfam family: Bacterial small subunit ribosomal RNA
Source: RNAcentral